AAAACGGAGAGUUUGAUCCUGGCUCAGGAUGAACGCUGGCGGUAUGCUUAACACAUGCAAGUCGAACGGGCUCUUCGGAGCUAGUGGCGGACGGGUGAGUAACGCGUGAGAAUCUGGCUUCAGGUUCGGGACAACAGUUGGAAACGGCUGCUAAUACCGGAUGUGCCUAAGGGUGAAAGAUUUAUCACCUGAAGAUGAGCUCGCGUCUGAUUAGCUAGUAGGUGUGGUAAGAGCGCACCUAGGCGACGAUCAGUAGCUGGUCUGAGAGGAUGAUCAGCCACACUGGGACUGAGACACGGCCCAGACUCCUACGGGAGGCAGCAGUGGGGAAUUUUCCGCAAUGGGCGAAAGCCUGACGGAGCAAUACCGCGUGAGGGAGGAAGGCUCUUGGGUUGUAAACCUCUUUUCUCAGGGAAGAAUGAUGACGGUACCUGAGGAAUAAGCAUCGGCUAACUCCGUGCCAGCAGCCGCGGUAAUACGGAGGAUGCAAGCGUUAUCCGGAAUGAUUGGGCGUAAAGCGUCCGCAGGUGGCAAUGUAAGUCUGCUGUCAAAGCGUCUGGCUCAACCAGAUAAAGGCAGUGGAAACUACAUAGCUAGAGUAAGGUAGGGGUAGAGGGAAUUCCUGGUGUAGCGGUGAAAUGCGUAGAGAUCAGGAAGAACACCGGUGGCGAAAGCGCUCUGCUGGACCUUAACUGACACUGAGGGACGAAAGCUAGGGGAGCGAAUGGGAUUAGAUACCCCAGUAGUCCUAGCCGUAAACGAUGGAUACUAGGCGUUGCCCGUAUCGACCCGGGCAGUGUCGUAGCUAACGCGUUAAGUAUCCCGCCUGGGGAGUACGCAGGCAACUGUGAAACUCAAAGGAAUUGACGGGGGCCCGCACAAGCGGUGGAGUAUGUGGUUUAAUUCGAUGCAACGCGAAGAACCUUACCAGGGCUUGACAUGUCCGGAAUCCUGACGAAAGUUAGGAGUGCCUUCGGGAGCCGGAACACAGGUGGUGCAUGGCUGUCGUCAGCUCGUGUCGUGAGAUGUUGGGUUAAGUCCCGCAACGAGCGCAACCCUCGUUCUUAGUUGCCAUCAUUAAGUUGGGAACUCUAAGGAGACUGCCGGUGACAAACCGGAGGAAGGUGGGGAUGACGUCAAGUCAGCAUGCCCCUUACGCCCUGGGCUACACACGUACUACAAUGCUAUGGACAAAGGGCAGCAAGCCAGCAAUGGCAAGCAAAUCUCGUAAACCAUGGCUCAGUUCAGAUCGCAGGCUGCAACUCGCCUGCGUGAAGGUGGAAUCGCUAGUAAUUGCAGGUCAGCAUACUGCAGUGAAUUCGUUCCCGGGCCUUGUACACACCGCCCGUCACACCAUGGAAGCUGGUCACGCCCGAAGUCGUUACCCUAACCUUUCGAGGAGGGGGACGCCGAAGGUAGGACUGGUGACUGGGGUGAAGUCGUAACAAGGUAGCCGUACCGGAAGGUGUGGCUGGAUCACCUCCUU
Molecule: ribosomal RNA, 1486 nt
Filed under: Kalymmatonema gypsitolerans HTT-U-KK4
Lineage: Bacteria; Bacillati; Cyanobacteriota; Cyanophyceae; Nostocales; Scytonemataceae
Description: bacterial SSU rRNA
Rfam family: Bacterial small subunit ribosomal RNA
Source: RNAcentral